RNAcentral lists this transfer RNA (73 nucleotides) under Bos taurus (domestic cattle). It matches the Rfam family "tRNA". Rfam says of the family: Transfer RNA (tRNA) molecules are approximately 80 nucleotides in length. Their secondary structure includes four short double-helical elements and three loops (D, anti-codon, and T loops). Further hydrogen bonds mediate the characteristic L-shaped molecular structure. tRNAs have two regions of fundamental functional importance: the anti-codon, which is responsible for specific mRNA codon recognition, and the 3' end, to which the tRNAs corresponding amino acid is attached (by aminoacyl-tRNA synthetases). tRNAs cope with the degeneracy of the genetic code in two manners: having more than one tRNA (with a specific anti-codon) for a particular amino acid; and 'wobble' base-pairing, i.e. permitting non-standard base-pairing at the 3rd anti-codon position. RNAcentral also lists the same sequence under 5 other names. The record is from Rfam by way of RNAcentral. Lineage: Eukaryota; Metazoa; Chordata; Mammalia; Artiodactyla; Bovidae.
UCCUUGGUGGUCUAGUGGUUAAGACUCUGUCUUCCCAAGGCAGGGGGCCUGGGUUCAAUCCCUGAGUGGGGAA